AGAGUUUGAUCCUGGCUCAGGAUGAACGCUAGCGGCAGGCCUAAUACAUGCAAGUCGAGGGGUAACAGGAAGUGCUUGCACUUCGCUGACGACCGGCGCACGGGUGAGUAUCGCGUAUACAAUCUGCCUCAUACUAGGGAAUAGCCCGAAGAAAUUUGGAUUAAUGCCCUAUAGUAUCUUUUUAAGGCAUCUUAUUAAGAUUAAAGGUCACGGUAUGAGAUGAGUAUGCGUUCUAUUAGCUAGUAAGUGUGGUAACGGCACACCUAGGCUACGAUAGAUAGGGGCCCUGAGAGGGGGAUCCCCCACACUGGUACUGAGACACGGACCAGACUCCUACGGGAGGCAGCAGUAAGGAAUAUUGGUCAAUGGACGAAAGUCUGAACCAGCCAUGCCGCGUGCAGGAUGACUGCCCUAUGGGUUGUAAACUGCUUUUAUAUAGGAAGAAAAACUUUCUCGUGAGAAAGCUUGACGGUACUAUAAGAAUAAGGAUCGGCUAACUCCGUGCCAGCAGCCGCGGUAAUAC
This 523-nucleotide ribosomal RNA is filed under the name uncultured bacterium. Its description in RNAcentral is "bacterial SSU rRNA". It matches the Rfam family "Bacterial small subunit ribosomal RNA", at positions 8 to 526 of the family's 1533-position model. The record is from RNAcentral.